Molecule: ribosomal RNA, 621 nt
Filed under: uncultured bacterium
Lineage: Bacteria
Description: bacterial SSU rRNA
Rfam family: Bacterial small subunit ribosomal RNA
Source: RNAcentral
GCCUCUUGGACUGGGAAAACUGUUGGAAACGACAGCUAAUACCGGAUAUUAUGAGAUUCUCGCAUGAGAAACUUAUGAAAGCUAUAUGCGCCAAGAGAGAGCCUUGCGUUCCAUUAGCUAGUUGGUGGGGUAACGGCCCACCAAGGCGACGAUGGAUAGCCGGCCUGAGAGGGUGAACGGCCACAAGGGGACUGAGACACGGCCCUUACUCCUACGGGAGGCAGCAGUGGGGAAUAUUGGACAAUGGGCCACAAGCCUGAUCCAGCAAUUCUGUGUGCACGAUGAAGGUCUUCGGAUUGUAAAGUGCUUUCAGUUGGGAAGAAGAAAGUGACGGUACCAACAGAAGAAGCGACGGCUAAAUACGUGCCAGCAGCCGCGGUAAUACGUAUGUCGCAAGCGUUAUCCGGAUUUAUUGGGCGUAAAGCGCGUCUAGGCGGAAAAAUAAGUCUGAUGUUAAAAUGCGGGGCUCAACUCCGUAUUGCGUUGGAAACUGUUUUUCUAGAGUACUGGAGAGGUGGGCGGAACUACAAGUGUAGAGGUGAAAUUCGUAGAUAUUUGUAGGAAUGCCGAUGGAGAAGUCAGCUCACUGGACAGAUACUGACGCUGAAGCGCGAAAGCGUG